This 510-nucleotide unclassified non-coding RNA is filed under the name uncultured Bartonella sp. RNAcentral describes it as "partial 16S-23S ribosomal RNA intergenic spacer". The stretch from base 139 to 212 matches the Rfam family "tRNA". The record is from RNAcentral. Lineage: Bacteria; Pseudomonadati; Pseudomonadota; Alphaproteobacteria; Hyphomicrobiales; Bartonellaceae.
UCUUCAGAUGAUGAUCCCAAGCCUUCUGGCGAUCUCUUAUAAAGAAAGCCCUCCAUAAUAAAUUGAAAAGGGUCCUUUGGGGAAAAGUUUUCCCUUUGAUAAGAUGAAGCCGGGGAAGGUUUUCCGGUUUAUCCCGGAGGGCUUGUAGCUCAGUUGGUUAGAGCGCGCGCUUGAUAAGCGUGAGGUCGGAGGUUCAAGUCCUCCCAGGCCCACCAAUCAUUCUAUCAAUCUAUAAGCGCUUGUGGAAAUUGCUCAUAGAAAACUUUCUUUAUUCAUUUAUGAAAAAUCUCCUUAUAGAGAGAGACGCUUUUCCCUUUUGGUUUGAAAACUCAAAAUUAAAGGUGUUAAAGUUGCUUUAAAGGAAAAGUGACAAAGAAUAAGGAAUAACGAUUUAAGUUAUCCCUUUUUGGUGAUCUUGAUUUGGGUGUUUUGAAUGCGUUAUGUUUUUUAGGGGGGCCGUAGCUCAGCUGGGAGAGCACCUGCUUUGCAAGCAGGGGGUCGUCGGUUCAA